AUUGAACGCUGGCGGCAGGCCUAACACAUGCAAGUCGAACGGUAACAGGAAGAAGCUUGCUUCUUCGCUGACGAGUGGCGGACGGGUGAGUAAUGUCUGGGAAACUGCCUGAUGGAGGGGGAUAACUACUGGAAACGGUAGCUAAUACCGCAUAACGUCGCAAGACCAAAGAGGGGGACCUUCGGGCCUCUUGCCAUCGGAUGUGCCCAGAUGGGAUUAGCUAGUAGGUGGGGUAACGGCUCACCUAGGCAACGAUCCCUAGCUGGUCUGAGAGGAUGACCAGCCACACUGGAACUGAGACACGGUCCAGACUCCUACGGGAGGCAGCAGUGGGGAAUAUUGCACAAUGGGCGCAAGCCUGAUGCAGCCAUGCCGCGUGUAUGAAGAAGGCCCUCGGGUUGUAAAGUACUUUCAGCGGGGAGGAAGGGAGUAAAGUUAAUACCUUUGCUCAUUGACGUUACCCGCAGAAGAAGCACCGGCUAACUCCGUG
RNAcentral lists this ribosomal RNA (490 nucleotides) under uncultured bacterium. RNAcentral's name for it is "partial 16S ribosomal RNA". It matches the Rfam family "Bacterial small subunit ribosomal RNA", at positions 30 to 507 of the family's 1533-position model. The record is from RNAcentral.